UUGCUAAAUGUAUUCUCUUUUCUCCUAUUUUUACUGUUUACACUCCCUCCCUGGAGUUCGUAUUUUCAGUUUAUUCAAAAAUUGCAUUAGCAAACAUCCCUAAUUUGUCCAGGAGUUAACCACUUUCCAUAACUUAAAUUUUGGAUAUCAAUUGGUGUUAAUUUUGCCAAGAAAAUAUACUCGAAUCCAUUACAUACGAAGAACUUAAAAUCGGACUAUCAAAGCUCGGAUCAUGGUUGGCUGAAGCAGAAAUAUUACAACUCAUGGAAGCUAUACAUUGAUAGAGUAUUAAUUCAAUAUUUAAGCAAAAGGCUUAUAAUAUUACUGUUAGUAUUGAAUAAAAGGAAAUUUUAAAAGUAAAUUUAAUUAUUUUGACCUUUUACUCAAUAGCAACAAGAAUUUACUAUUCAUGUGGUUAAGGGUUUACGUACAGCUUCUUCCAAAACAUACUAAUAUUACAGUAUUAGUAUUUGUACAUUCUAAAACAUGACAACCAUAUUCUCCGAGAAGAAUCAAAUCACCCAUAUAGAUUUCAGGUCUAAAAAUUUAAUUAUUUUGAUCUUGUCAAACAAAGCUAAACUUGUUUGUGUUACAACAUAUUCAUAACUAGAGAUGAGUUGAUGCAAACUUUUUUCCAAUCGGAACGACCGCGGUUCAUGAUACGGACUUUUUCGACCGAAUUGAAAUUGCAGAUGAUUCAUACGUCCAGUAGCGAAGCUUGACAACGAAGACGGGGGGUCGAAAACAUAUAUACCCAAAAAUUUCUAUAGAACCAGGGGUCGAAAACGUAUAUACCCAAAAAUUUCUAUACGAAAACUAUAUAUAUAACACUAUGAGCGAAAAGUUCGGCCCCUGCAUAAGUCAAUCUUAGCGGCAGUUCGUGAUACUGACUUUUUCCGAUUGUACCGGCACAACGGCGACUUUUUAACAGCAAAGAGUGAAAUUCUGUCGUUGCUAACUUGCGCAGUAGCAAUUAAGUUGCAGAUUGAGUGUUUGUAAAUUUAGAAGAACAAAGAGUGUUGAUUGUGAAUUGAUAGUGUAAAAGUUGUGGAAUGAAUUUUUAGAGGGGUUGAAUUUGAAAAGUUUUAAAUUGUUUUUUUUUGGAAAGGGGUUAUGAAAAGUAAAAUGUGGGGUACAUAUAGCCGCACCCUUCGAUAAACAUAAAUAAACGUUAACGAUGGCGUCCGUUUAGAUGUUAAUACGCGGCCUAGGCCUAAAAAUUAAGUCCAUAAAAGCUUAACACUUAGGUGCUGUUUGUUUUUUCAGAUGUAAAACGUCUGCAGUAUGCAGACCACAUCUGUGGCAGAAGAGGUGGACCAAACCUCUGCAAUCUGCAAGAAGAAGACUGUUUGUUUUUUUUUUUUACAUCUGUAGCGGAAGAGGUAGCCCUAAACUAUUAUUUCCUCCUUAAAUUUUCCUUUUCACCAAUUUAAAAAGCUCAUUAUCAGUACACCAUAACUGUUAUGCGUCAAAGCUAUCAAAAAACUACUAUACCACUAGGUUUUUCAUUACAACCUCAAUAAUC
Molecule: long non-coding RNA, 1525 nt
Filed under: Helianthus annuus (common sunflower)
Lineage: Eukaryota; Viridiplantae; Streptophyta; Magnoliopsida; Asterales; Asteraceae
Description: hypothetical non coding rna
Source: RNAcentral